Molecule: long non-coding RNA, 370 nt
Organism: Rhinichthys klamathensis goyatoka
Lineage: Eukaryota; Metazoa; Chordata; Actinopteri; Cypriniformes; Leuciscidae
Exons: 2
Source: RefSeq, a predicted model, not a curated record
GGAGGAGAAAAAUGUGCAAGACGAUGGGCCUAAGCUGGACAGGAUUGCCAUGGAAACCUGCCCCUCCCAUCCACCUCAAAUCUUGCUGCCACUGUGCUAGACAUGAACGACUCUCCUCAAAACAACUGUAACUUUUGAAUGAACUCAAGAAACAUGAACCGGCUUCAGAUUCACUUUUAUGUGCAGACCGAGCAGCAAGUCUCACUGGAUUGCGUAUUCUUUGAUCUGGUCUGAUGUCUAAAGGAGCCUGCGAAGAUCUGAUAGACAACUGGUUUGGGUGUUGCUACAUUUUCCUUCUAAGUCCCAUUGGAGAGAUCACUGGUUUUAAAUGUAGGCUGUUAUUAAGUGCUGUCCCAGUUCAUUAUUUUAA